Molecule: long non-coding RNA, 366 nt
Organism: Dermochelys coriacea (leatherback sea turtle)
Lineage: Eukaryota; Metazoa; Chordata; Testudines; Dermochelyidae
Exons: 3
Source: RefSeq, a predicted model, not a curated record
CCCCCUGCUGCUGAUUUUUUUUGUGUUUGUCUCUCUCCUCCAGUUGUUUUUUAAUAAAAUAAUUGUGUUGGUUUGAAAACAAUCUUUAUUCUAUUAAUUGGAAGCAAACAGAGUCCUGCAAAGCAAAAGACAAUUAUCUUAAACCUUCAGAUUGCAUCAUCUGCACCAAUCACAAUCACCUCCUAGCAUUACAAGCACUGCACUACCGAGCAUAGCAACAAAUAUUAAUGGCUUUUAGCUUAAAAUUGCUGCCUCAAGGCAUCCCUGAUCCUUAUGGCCGUAUGCUGUGCCCCUUUAAUAGCCCUGAUCUCUGGCUGAUCAAAUUCAGCCUCCAGACACUGAGUCUCAGCGGUCCAGCCCUGAGUG